GUGUCAGCCGCCGCGGUAAGACGGAGGGUGCAAGCGUUGUUCGGAAUCACUGGGCGUAAAGCGCGUGUAGGCGGUCCGAUAAGUCGAAUGUGAAAGCCCGGGGCUCAACCUCGGAAGUGCAUUCGAAACUGUCGGGCUUGAGUACGGGAGAGGGAAGUGGAAUUCCUGGUGUAGAGGUGAAAUUCGUAGAUAUCAGGAGGAACACCGGUGGCGAAGGCGGCUUCCUGGACCGAUACUGACGCUGAGACGCGAAAGCGUGGGGAGCAAACAGGAUUAGAUACCCUGGUAGUCCACGCCGUAAACGGUGAGCACUAGGUGUAGCGGGUAUUGACCCCUGCUGUGCCGCAGCUAACGCAUUAAGUGCUCCGCCUGGGGAGUACGGUCGCAAGAUUAAA
RNAcentral lists this ribosomal RNA (395 nucleotides) under uncultured bacterium. RNAcentral's name for it is "bacterial SSU rRNA". It matches the Rfam family "Bacterial small subunit ribosomal RNA", at positions 505 to 898 of the family's 1533-position model. The record is from RNAcentral.